UACGAAGGGUGCAAGCGUUAAUCGGAAUUACUGGGCGUAAAGCGCGCGUAGGUGGUUCGGCAAGUUGGAUGUGAAAGCCCCGGGCUCAACCUGGGAACUGCAUCCAAAACUACUGGGCUAGAGUACGGUAGAGGGUGGUGGAAUUUCCUGUGUAGCGGUGAAAUGCGUAGAUAUAGGAAGGAACACCAGUGGCGAAGGCGACCACCUGGACCGAUACUGACACUGAGGUGCGAAAGCGUGGGGAGCAAACAGG
Molecule: ribosomal RNA, 253 nt
Filed under: uncultured bacterium
Lineage: Bacteria
Description: partial 16S ribosomal RNA
Rfam family: Bacterial small subunit ribosomal RNA
Source: RNAcentral